This 458-nucleotide ribosomal RNA is filed under the name uncultured soil bacterium. RNAcentral describes it as "bacterial SSU rRNA". It matches the Rfam family "Bacterial small subunit ribosomal RNA", at positions 26 to 480 of the family's 1533-position model. The record is from RNAcentral.
AGAUUGAACGCUGGCGGCAGGCCUAACACAUGCAAGUCGAGCGGCAGCACGGGUACUUGUACCUGGUGGCGAGCGGCGGACGGGUGAGUAAUGCCUAGGAAUCUGCCUGGUAGUGGGGGAUAACGCUCGGAAACGGACGCUAAUACCGCAUACGUCCUACGGGAGAAAGCAGGGGACCUUCGGGCCUUGCGCUAUCAGAUGAGCCUAGGUCGGAUUAGCUAGUUGUGAGUAAUGGCUCACCAAGGCGACGAUCCGUAACUGGUCUGAGAGGAUGAUCAGUCACACUGGAACUGAGACACGGUCCAGACUCCUACGGGAGCAGCAGUGGGAAUAUUGGACAAUGGGCGAAAGCCUGAUCCAGCCAGUGCCGCGUGUGUGAAGAAGGUCUUCGGAUUAGAAAGCAACGUUUAAGUAGGAGAAGGCAAGUUACCUAAUACGUAUCUAGUUUGACGUUACGA